This 253-nucleotide ribosomal RNA is filed under the name uncultured bacterium. RNAcentral describes it as "partial 16S ribosomal RNA". It matches the Rfam family "Bacterial small subunit ribosomal RNA", at positions 524 to 776 of the family's 1533-position model. The record is from RNAcentral.
UACGUAGGGGGCGAGCGUUGUCCGGAAUCAUUGGGCGUAAAGCGCGUGUAGGCGGCCCGGUAAGUCCGCUGUGAAAGUCCAGGGCUCAACCCUGGGAUGCCGGUGGAUACUGUCGGGCUCGAGUCCGGAAGAGGCGAGUGGAAUUCCUGGUGUAGCGGUGAAAUGCGCAGAUAUCAGGAGGAACACCAAUGGCGAAGGCAGCUCGCUGGGACGUGACUGACGCUGAGACGCGAAAGCGUGGGGAGCAAACAAG